AUGCUUAGGGGGGAGUUUAGGGAGGAGUUUAGGGAGGGUAUCGGACAGUCAGAGGAGAGCCUAAAGUAGCACAAAGGCGGUAGCCACACUCAUCAUGGCGGCCAAAGGGCGACCGAGCGGAGGGGGGCGGAGCCACUCCUGGCGGUUGGGGCACGUCGCCGUCUCCGUCGUCGCAUUUAUUGGUUUGUUUGAGAAGGAAUCAGAAAGGCAAUGGAUGGAAGUGGACGUCGGUCAAAGUUAGUCCCGCCUCCAGACUCUCAUCGCGCUUCUCAGCGCCGGGACUCCUUCAAGAUCGCCAGUGCCUGCCUUGCUCGGUUUGCCCUUUUCUCCGGGGUGACGUCACGGCGUAACCGUCACACCCUCGAGACGUGCGAACGGCUCCGCAGGGUGUGGAGAAGGUGGAGGGUGCAGUUGGGUGAGGUAGCCUUGGGGUGUGGACUCCUGCCUGCUGGGCUGAAAGGCCUUGAGCUACGGGACGCAAUGGAACUGGGAAGCUUACCGUUUGACGACGCUUGUUCCAAGGCGGAAGAGCUCGCUGCAGCCUCUGUCGCCGCCCUCUCUGUAACCUUGUUGGGCUGGGCGGGGAGUUCCUGCCCGUUCUCAACCUUGGGUCCGGAGCUCAAAUGACCACCCAUCUUGGGGGCCUCGAAGAGUUGGGCUUUUUUCCCCCUGCCGCGGCUUGGGCCAUUAGGCAAGUGAGAUUCGGCCCAUGCGGUUUGGCGUCGUUUCAAGGGCCUUGACUUUUGUGUCACCUCCCCGAAUUUGAGUUUUCUCUGGCUGACCACGUAGGUCCCCUGGGGAAGUUCCCGAGGGGAAAACUGAUCGCGCUCGGCCAAAUGAAAAAAAGAGGUGCAGCAUGUUUGGGGCUGGGUGCGAAACCGUUCCCUCUUGGACGUAUUUCAGACCCAAUAGUAGUCGUUAAGGAGGAGACCUUCACCCAGGCCCUGCCAGGCCCUGGAAGCCUGUGCUGAGCUCUGCGGGAGGAGGGCCGCCGACCCCGAAAGUAGUCAACUAGGGGUUGCGGAAAUGGAGCUGUUAGGCUUACACCUGGUUGGUGGGACUGGAGGACGUUUCACGAAGGAGGUAGCAUUCGUACCGGACCUUGUAAAGGUAACGUGAUUCCAACAGGUGGGAGUUGAGAACCUAGACUAUUCUGGUUACAGCCGAGGGGCCAUUUCCCAAGUUUGAAGGAACCCAGGCCUUGCUGUAGAAACUGGUUUCUGCCAUUACUACUGACGCCUUUACUGCCGUGUGUUGCCUUUCUUUUUGCAGGGAGAAGAGGGAUGACGAUUAAAUACAUCAGAUAAGAGCUAAACCUGAUGGUAAAGAUUAGAGAGAUCAAGGGCCUCCUUGGACUCCUCCCCUGGACCCUCUGCAUCCAGCCGGCUGGUUAGCUAAGAGAGAGAAAACCACGAAAGGUAGUGAACGCUGGAAAUGGUGUCAGUUAUUUCUUCCCACGUCGUGUUGGUCUGACCCAGUUGUCCGGCCCCAACCUGAGUCAAGCAAACUGGGACAUGGCUUCCUAUGUGCUCAGGAGGAAGAAAUGGGAAUGAUGAGCAUCUGGCCAAUCUCUGCUGCGACUGCUAAUUUUGGUGGCCUCCAGGCCAGAGCUACUGACUUGCUGAGGAAGAGAUGUAGGAGGAUUAUACUCUUGUACACAUUGGAUUUUAUAAAUCCAAAUAUUACCUCUUCAAAUAAAUUAAAAAAGAGGAGACUGGUGGAAUUAUGGGUCAUCCAUACCACGUAAGAGUGAAGUACAUCUGUACAUACUGGAAUGGAACGAUCUUCAGUGAAGAUGGGCAACAUUUAAAAGCCAGAGAAUACCAAGUGCUGGCCGAAAUAAAGAGCCGCCGAAACUCUCAGACCUUGCUAGGUGGAAUGUCACCGGACGCGACCUCUUUGGAAAGCAGAUCUUGACCAGGGGAAGCUACAGAAGACAGAUACAGAGAAUACAAAGAACCCAAGAGCAUCAGAGGCUUGUGGACCACUUCCCCAGUAUGGCAUGAGGGAGGCUGCAGGCUGCUAGAAGAAACCUUGCAUUUGGCUCUGCAUCGUGUCCGAAAUACUAAUCGGAAUGGCAAGACGAAAGUCGAGCCCGACAACUUCACAAGCACAUUUAGCGCCUUUGCUUGGAUCCUGUCUGCUGACAUCCCAACGGCCGACAUAAGUCACAUACCCGAGCUCAGCGUCAGUAGGGCAGAAAGUAGACUCUCAUGAAGAGAGGAGAGAAAGAAAGGAAUAAAUGUCUUCUGAAUUAUAAUCUAAUCUGUGAUCUUCAGCACAGUGGCCAUAGUAACUCCAGUGAAAAUUCUGGAGUUCUAUUCCUAAGGAAAGGAAGGGAAGCUAGAUUCGGAGGACAAUUUCUGUCACAAUGUGUAUCAGUCAGGAGGCAGUUUCUUCUAGUUUAAUGGAAACAUGAAUGUGUUCCUCGGUGGAAGCAUCCUUCUCUUUGGCACUAGGACCUCCAAACCCACUGAGCCCAAGUUUGUAGAGAUGAGAAGCACAAAAAUUCCUUUAUACAAAGUUCAUUUGAUGUAACAGUGAGGAGGGUCACCUCACUCCAUUCAAUUGACUGAACCACCCAGGUGCCCCUCUCUAAAAAAAAAAGAAAACAUAAAGAAAAGAGUAAACUUGAACUCAAGGUGAACAGAAGAAAAGAAAUGACAACCAGAAUGAAAUUCAGUGAAAUACUAAACAAAAAACGAGAGAGAAAAAGCCAUGAAACCAAAAACUGAUUCUUUGAGAAAAAAAUCUAUACAGUUGUUAAACUAGUAGUCAGACUAAUCAGGAAAAAGUAGAGAAAACACAAAUUACCAAUAUCAGGAAUGAGAGAGAUGACAUCACAGUUUUUACAGAUAUUGAAAGGGUAAUUUAGGAAUAUUAUGAACAACUUAAUGCCAAUAUAUUUAACAAAUGAAAUGGAUGCAUUUCUUGAAAGACACAAACUAUCAAAACUCCUUUCUGAAGGAAUAGAUAAUGCACAUAGAGUUAUAUCCACAUUUUUGAAUUUUUAGUUAAAAUACGCACCCGCCGCCCCCAAAGACAGUGUUGGCAAUGGCCAGAUCAGCUUGGUGAGAGCAAGUCUGUGUUGUUGAGUCCAUCAAUGUCUCCUUUCGUCACCGUGGGCCACUUUGCAAAUGGAUCUAUUAACCAAGCACUAGAGAGUAUCUGAGGAAGAGGCCAUCUGAUGUUCGCAGAUUGUGUCAUCUUGUCCUGAUUAUUGAGAGUCUCAUCUACAACAGAUGCCCUUGGGUGAGCAUUUAUAUGGAACAUGAAUAUGCUUUGUGGAUCGCAAGAAGUCCAUCUUUAUUUCGACCUCCUUGUCCCCAGCCUUCUAAUCUUGUUCUUUCCAAAUUCCUGACCAGUGGGCCAGGCUAACCCCCAAGUCAGGUUAGAUCUGGGCAUUAACUAGAUCUGCAGUAGAGUUCUGCUCACCGGAGAAUGUCCCUUCUCUACAGGCUUUUGGAGCCACUCCAGAGCGGGCUGUGCUGCAAUGCUUCUGGCUGCUUCUGUAAGAAGCCUGCACUUUCCUUUCCUCCACUAACUGACCUUUUUUGUUUUUAGAGAGAGAGAGAGAAAGCGAGAGCACGCAAGCUGGGGAAAGGGACAGAGAGAGAGAGAGAGAGAGAGAGAGAGAGAGAGAGAAUCUUAAGCAGGCUCCCUGCUCAGCUUGGAGCUCGACAUGGGGCUCAAUCCCAUGACUCUGGGAUCAUGAUCUGAGCUGAAAUCAAGAGUCAGAUGCUCAACCGACUGAGCCACCCAGGCAGCCCUCCUCAUGGCCUUAUCGUUUUCCACCUGCACUGUAUCCCAGGCCACUGCCAUGAUAAUGUGCUUAUUUGUGAGGACACUGCCUGUUAUGGACUGCCAGGGUCCCAUUUCGCCACAACAAGGAGGUUAUCCAUGCCUUCCUCAUAUACAUGAGCAUCUCAGUUCUGGAAUCCUACUUUUUUUUCAACAAUUCUAUACAUUACACACUGCUCACCACAGUAAGUAGGGUUACCAUCUGUCACCAUACAGUAUUAUUACGGUAUUAUUGACUGUACUCCCCAUGCUGUACUUUUCGUCUCCAUGACUUACUUGUUUUAUAACUGGAAUUUUGUGCCUCUUAAUACCUUUAAUACCUUUCAUCUAUUUCAUCCAUCCUCCCCACCCACCUCCCCUCUGGCAACCACCAGUUUGUUCUCUGCAUUUAUGAGCUUGUUUCUGUUUGUUGGUUUAUUAUUUGCUUGUUUGUAUGUUUUGCUUUUUAAAUUCCACAUGUAGGUGAAAUCUUACCAUAUUUGUCUUUGUCUGUCUGACUUAUCUCACUUAGCGUAGUACCCUCUAGGUCCAUCCAUGUUGUCACAAAUAGUAAGAUCUCAUUCUUUUUUUUAAGUCUGAGUAAUAGUCCAUUGUUAUAUACCACAUGUUCUUCUUUUUUUAAUGUUUAUUUAUUUUUUAUUUUUUAAACAUUUAUUUAUUAUUGAGAGACAGAGAGAGACAGACCGUGAGCAGGGGAGGGGCAGAGAGAGAGGGAGACACAGAAUCCCAAGCAGGCUCCGGGCUCUGAGCUCGGCACAGAGCCCGACGCGGGGCUCGAAGUCACACAGUGUGAGAUUAUGACCUGAGCCAAAGUCUGACGCUCAACCGACUGAGCCACCCAGGUGCCCCUAUACCAAAUGUUCUUUAUCCACGGAAUCAUUUCUCCCCCCAUGGAAUCUUAUUUCAAAACCACUUCUUUUUUUUUUUUUUUUUUAAUUUUUUUUUAACAUUUAUUUAUUUUUGAGACAGAGAGAGACAGAGCAUGAAUGGGGGAGGGGCAGAGAGGGAGGGAGACACAGAAUCGGAAGCAGGCUCCAGGCUCUGGGCCAUCAGCCCAGAGCCUGACGCGGGGCUCGAACUCACGGACCGCGAGAUCAUGACCUGAGCUGAAGUUGGACGCUCAACCGACUGAGCCACCCAGGUGCCCCUCAAAACCACUUCUAAUACCAAUGAUUGUACUAGUCAGGUCCCAAAAGGAAGUAAGUGGCACACUCAAAAUGGAUAACUUGAGGAGAGUUUGAUAAAGGAGGUUUUUGCAGAGUCAUGGUCAGGGAAUAGGGAAUCCAAAAAGAAUGUGCACUAGUCCAGGACUGGCAACCUUGGGGAGCAAAACAGCCCUAGGCCAUGAAGGAGCAAGGAGACAGGGGACUACUGGGACCAGAGAAGGUAAGUGAAGGAGAAAGCUACCUGAAAGUAGCUAUAGCCUUUGAUAGAAAGGAAGUUAUCCCUCGGCAAGCUCUCAAGAAGGGAGGCAAGCGAAUAAAUACCCCGACUUCCAUCUCUUCCUACUCUCUGAUCUCCUGCUGGUGCCUCCCAUUGGCCAACAGAAAACCAGUGGACAAAGGGAGCCUACUGAUGUCAUCCUUGAAGGUCAAUACUCUGAGGCACAGAGCCUGGUGGAGAACAAGGGGAGGAGAAGGGGAGGAGGAGACCUAUCUAUCUAGCACACAACCCAAACAAGUUAAACAGGGAAUUUACUGGUUCCUGCAAAGUCAAGCUGUAAGGCUUGAAGCAAGGGCUCAAAUAAAGUCAUCAGUGUCUGGUUUUUCCUCCAUCCACAGGUUUCAUAUACAGGCAGGCUCUCCCAUCAUGCUCCAAAAUGGCUCCAGAAUGCACAGCCUUUUUCAUUCAAACGUAGUGGAGUCUAUCAAAGGAUUCAUUGGGUCUCAUUGACUCUCAUUGGGUCACAUGAAAUGCCUGAACCAACCGCAGUGCUUAGCAUCAAAGAGAAGUGCUGCUUGGCCUAGAUCUCUGGAGCUAGGACUGGGUGAAAUCAUGGCAUGGAACCUGGAUGACUAGGGAAAAGUUGAUAUUGAAUAGCCAAAAUGCUACAUACCCUGUAUCAUCUUUUAAUGGUUGAAGCAGAACUUUUCCAUUUUUUUUGUAUCUGUGGAUCAUCUGGAGAUCCUGUUAAAAGUGCGGAAUCUGAUGAAGUAGGUCUGGGGUGGGGCAAAUUAAUUUCAUCUGUUUCUUUUUACUUUUUUAACAUGGUUACUAGAGCAUUAAAAAAUACAUGUGUUUCUGUUGGAUAGUGCUAUCCUAGAAGGAGGUAAUGAAGUGGAUGAAGGUGUUGAUCUUGAAACACAUUCAUUUUCACUUAUGAAUACUCAAUCAGAAGAACCAAAUAUAGCAGAGACCACAUGAGACUUACCUCAUGGGUCCUUGGACUUGGUCCACCCUCAGGACCUCAGGGUUAUGUGGUUGCAGGUUGAAUUAAUGCAUGAGUGCUUAGGAUAGAGGACUCUGGAACGAGCCUGCUACGGUUUGACCUGAGGAAAGAGGAAAUGCUGGGGAUCCCAGAGUUGCUCCCCCCAACCAGCAGUCACUUCAUUUCCCAUUUUUGUUUACGCAGUUGUCUGAAUUACAGGAAUUACAACUGUGCUUAUCAACUUCCCUGAUCUGUCCUGCACACAUCCACUCAACUGAUCUCUGCACUCCCUUUUAGCCCUUUCCUGCCCAGACAUAUGCUCCCAGCUGCAAUCUGCUUUCUAGGAACUCCCUACUGAACCCAGAAUGUCUUGUCCUACCAGUCCACGGGCCCCCAAAUGUGUCUCCCACUUUCCCCAUCUGUCUAAGUUAUUCCCUUACUGCUUGAAUCUCUGUCUCCACCACCUCCACCUUUCAAAGCCCACCUCAAGGUUAUCUGCCUCCAGAGAGGCCUUUUCAAGACCUGGCCCACAGAAGCCUGCCUUCAGAACUUGUAGCACAUGCUGUCUUUGGCCAGCAUAUCUGCUAUGGAGGGCUGUGUUGUCUAACUCUUAAGUUAUUAGGGUUUUCCUGCAUUUGUGCCUUGAUUCUUUGGGCUGUAAGUUCCUUGAGGACAGAGCCCUGUUUAGUUUAUAUUUGAAUUCCCCUUUUGACCAGGGCCUGUAUAAUAAAUAGAUCCUCAAAAAAUAUAAUUUGGCUCAUUUUCCCAAUACAAAACAAAAUGCUAGUUGAAAAUACAUAGACUUUUAUAUGAAAUAUAUGCAUAAACAUAUUUUCAAUGAUCAUUUUUAUAAUGGAGAGUAUUCUUUUUUAAAAACAAGAUAGUAGAUAAAGGCUGCGAGGAUGUGGAGAAAAGGGACCCCUUGUGCACUGUUGGUGAGAGUGCAGAGUGCAAAUUUCCAAUAAGCCAGUUGGAAAGCAAUUCCACUUCUGGGUAUAUAUCCAAAGGAAAUGAAAACACUGUGUCAAAGAGAUAUCCGCACCUUCAUGUUCAUAGCAUUAUUUAUAAUGACCAAGGCAUAGAAACAACCUAGGUGCCCACUGAUAUGUGAAUGGAUAAAGAAGUUGUGGUAUCUAUAUACACAAUGAAACAUUUAGCAAUAAAUCCUGCCAUUUGAGACGACAUGGAUGAUCCUAGAGGGUAUUAUGCUAAAUGAAAAUAAGUAAGGCAGAGAAAGACAAAUACUGCAUGAUCUCACUUACAUAUGGAAUCAAAACAAAGAACCAAGCUCAGAGAGAUCAGAUUUGUGGCAACCACAGGUGGGAGGUGGGGAGGGGGAGGGUUGAACUGGAUGAAGGUGGUCAAAAGGUAGAGACUUCCAGUUAUAAAAUAAAUAAGCACGGGGGAUAUAAUGUAUAACUCAAUGACUAAUGACUAUGGUUAACACUGCUGUAUAGUAUAUUGAAGCUUGUUAAAAAGAGUGGAUUUUAAGAGCUCUCUUCAUAAGUAAAAAGGUCUUUUUUAAAAUCUAUAUGGGAUGAUGAAUGUUAACUUACUGUGGUAAUCAUUUGCAUUGUAUGUAAGGAAAGUCAUUAUGCUGUAUACCUUAAACUUACAUAGUGUUGUAUGUGAAUUACAUUUCAGUGAGACUGGGGGAAUAAGCAAGAUGGAAAAUUAACUUUAAUCAUUGCAUAAACGUUUUUUUACUUCA
Long non-coding RNA from Panthera uncia (snow leopard), 7880 nucleotides. RefSeq lists it as uncharacterized. NCBI's taxonomy places the organism in Eukaryota, Metazoa, Chordata, Mammalia, Carnivora, Felidae. The transcript is spliced from 5 exons. The record is from RefSeq and is a predicted model, not a curated record.